This 763-nucleotide ribosomal RNA is filed under the name uncultured Streptococcus sp. RNAcentral's name for it is "bacterial SSU rRNA". It matches the Rfam family "Bacterial small subunit ribosomal RNA", at positions 28 to 776 of the family's 1533-position model. Lineage: Bacteria; Bacillati; Bacillota; Bacilli; Lactobacillales; Streptococcaceae. The record is from RNAcentral.
GAUGAACGCUGGCGGCGUGCCUAAUACAUGCAAGUAGAACGCUGAAGGAGGAGCUUGCUCUUCUGGAAGAGUUGCGAACGGGUGAGUAACGCGUAGGUAACCUGCCUCUUAGCGGGGGAUAACUAUUGGAAACGAUAGCUAAUACCGCAUAAAAGUCGACAUUGCAUGAUGUUGACUUAAAAGGUGCAAUUGCAUCACUACCAGAUGGACCUGCGUUGUAUUAGCUAGUUGGUGGGGUAACGGCUCACCAAGGCGACGAUACAUAGCCGACCUGAGAGGGUGAUCGGCCACACUGGGACUGAGACACGGCCCAGACUCCUACGGGAGGCAGCAGUAGGGAAUCUUCGGCAAUGGACGGAAGUCUGACCGAGCAACGCCGCGUGAGUGAAGAAGGUUUUCGGAUCGUAAAGCUCUGUUGUAAGAGAAGAACGAGUGUGAGAGUGGAAAGUUCACACUGUGACGGUAUCUUACCAGAAAGGGACGGCUAACUACGUGCCAGCAGCCGCGGUAAUACGUAGGUCCCGAGCGUUGUCCGGAUUUAUUGGGCGUAAAGCGAGCGCAGGCGGUUAGAUAAGUCUGAAGUUAAAGGCUGUGGCUUAACCAUAGUACGCUUUGGAAACUGUUUAACUUGAGUGCAAGAGGGGAGAGUGGAAUUCCAUGUGUAGCGGUGAAAUGCGUAGAUAUAUGGAGGAACACCGGUGGCGAAAGCGGCUCUCUGGCUUGUAACUGACGCUGAGGCUCGAAAGCGUGGGGAGCAAACAGG